GAUCAUGGCUCAAAAUCAACGCUGGCGGCGUGCCCCCUAUUUGCAAGUCAAACGAUUAAAACUCUCUUCGGAGAGUGCAUAAAGGGGCGCACGGGUGAGUAACACGUAAGUAAUCUACCCUCGGGGGGGGAAUAACGUCCGGAAACGGACGCUAAUACCGCAUAACGCACCACCGUCUAUGACGAUGCUGUUAAAGGAGCAAUUCGCCUGGGGAGGAGCUUGCGGCAAAUUAGCUUGUUGGUAGGGUAACGGCCUACCAAGGCGACAAUCUGUAGCCGGUCUAAAAGGACGGUCGGUCACACUGACACUGAAUAACGGGUCAAACUCCUACGGGAGGCAGCAGUCGGGAAUUUUGGGCAAUGGGGGAAACCCUGACCCAGCAACGCCGCGUGAAGGAUGAAGUUUUUCGGAAUGUAAACUUCGUAAGAAUGGGAAGAACAAAUGACGGUACCAUUUGUAAGCCCCGGCUAACUACGUG
This 478-nucleotide ribosomal RNA is filed under the name uncultured bacterium. RNAcentral describes it as "bacterial SSU rRNA". It matches the Rfam family "Bacterial small subunit ribosomal RNA", at positions 15 to 507 of the family's 1533-position model. The record is from RNAcentral.